Molecule: ribosomal RNA, 246 nt
Filed under: uncultured bacterium
Lineage: Bacteria
Description: partial 16S ribosomal RNA
Rfam family: Bacterial small subunit ribosomal RNA
Source: RNAcentral
AUACGUAGGGGGCGAGCGUUAUCCGGAAUUAUUGGGCGUAAAGAGUGCGUAGGUGGUUUUGUAAGCGCGGGGUGAAAGGCUAUGGCUCAACCAUAGUAAGCCUUGCGAACUGUGAGACUUGAGUGCAGGAGAGGAAAGCGGAAUUCCUAGUGUAGAGGUGAAAUUCGUAGAUAUUAGGAGGAACACCAGUGGCGAAGGCGACUUACUGGACUGUAACUGACACUGAGGCACGAAAGCGUGGGUAGC